CCGACAUCUUCACAUGAGCAAAAAAGGGUUCUUCCAAGUGAACCCUAAACUCACAAAUUGGAUCAAAAUCAAGGGAAAUCAAGCCAAGAUUUUGGGGGUUUAACUAAAUUCGUGAUCACCAAGCUUAGGAGAUCACAAGUUGACUCUAAACAAGCUAGGUGAGAGCUUGGAAAGGAACGGGUCAAACAGAUCAUGGAUGCGAAGAAUGUUUGCGCGGACGCGAGGGUAAAACGGCUUAUGGAAUUUACGUGGCUAUGAAUCAGCAAAUUAUUAAGGCAAGGUAUUAAAACGGGUCAAUACUUUGACCCGAGCCAGGUGAACGUUAUGGGUCUCCGGAUGACGAUCAAGCGAAGAACAAGAACCGAACACACGACUAAACAAAGCUUCCGCAUUUGAUCUUGUUUGUUUAUACAAAGUGUAUUAUGUAAACACUCUUAACUAUGUUUGAAUGUUUUAAACAUGUCUAAUUACUUUCAAUGUAAAAGUUUUUAUUAAGUGGCAUUUUUCUUAUAAAAUGCUUACUUUAA
Molecule: long non-coding RNA, 527 nt
Organism: Helianthus annuus (common sunflower)
Lineage: Eukaryota; Viridiplantae; Streptophyta; Magnoliopsida; Asterales; Asteraceae
Exons: 4
Source: RefSeq, a predicted model, not a curated record